UACGUAGGGUGCAAGCGUUGUCCGGAAUUAUUGGGCGUAAAGAGCUCGUAGGCGGUUUGUCGCGUCGUCCGUGAAAACUCACAGCUUAACUGUGAGCUUGCGGUCGAUACGGGCAGGCUAGAGUUCGGUAGGGGAGAAUGGAAUUCCUGGUGUAGCGGUGAAAUGCGCAGAUAUCAGGAGGAACACCGGUGGCGAAGGCGGUUCUCUGGGCCUUACCUGACACUGAGGAGCGAAAGCGUGGGGAGCGAACAGG
RNAcentral lists this ribosomal RNA (253 nucleotides) under uncultured bacterium. RNAcentral describes it as "partial 16S ribosomal RNA". It matches the Rfam family "Bacterial small subunit ribosomal RNA", at positions 524 to 776 of the family's 1533-position model. The record is from RNAcentral.